This 4254-nucleotide ribosomal RNA is filed under the name Triticum aestivum (bread wheat). RNAcentral's name for it is "partial small subunit ribosomal RNA". Lineage: Eukaryota; Viridiplantae; Streptophyta; Magnoliopsida; Poales; Poaceae. The record is from RNAcentral.
AUGAACAUCCUACAAGACCUUAAGCAUCUCAAGCACAUUAGCUUGCCGGCGAGGCUUAUCAUUUGCAAGUGCCUUCUCAUAGUGAUUGGCCUUAUUGUAUUGAGAGCAAUUAUCUCCCCUUUUCUUGCCAUCAGCUCUUCCGAGAAGAGUUUUUAUGACUCACCAACCCUUGACUUGUUCCCUGGAGUUAGGAAAGGCAAGUUUGUUGAGGUCCCGCAGAUUAUAUGGGGAUUGAACAAUCAGAAAAUUGCAUUUGCCAGAGCAUGCUUGACGGCAAAAUUCAUGAACCGUUCUCUACUCAUGCCAAGUCUGAGUGCUUCGCUUUUCUACAAAGAGGUUGACUUGCUGCAGCCUAUUGCUUUCGACAAGGUAUUUGACCUUAAUAAGUUCAAUGCCCGCUGUCAUGGGUUUGUAAGGGUGGCUCGGUAUUCAGAAGUUUCAAAUCGUACCGAGCCUUUCAAACUUCAAAAGGGCAGUGGUAGGAGGUGGACAGUGGAGAGAGAUUUGGAUCAACUGCAACAAUCCAGAUUGGGGGAGGCCGAUGGCUUUGAAGUGAUUCAUGUCACUGGGAAGCAUCCAUUUCUGUGGCCUGAUCAUUGGCCAGUGAAAGACUAUGCCAGGAUCUUCGAUUGCCUUGCUGUAGCUCCUGAGAUAGAAACUGAAGUUGUCAGGGUCAUAUCCAAGAUUAAAGAUGCAGGGAAAAAAGCAAGACAUGAUGCUGCCGUUUCUCAUAAUAAGAAGAGGAUAGAUGGUUUGAAAAAUCUUCCUGUGCAGUACAUUGCUGUUCACAUGAGAAUAGAGAAAGAUUGGAUGAUUCAUUGCAAGAAGUGGGAGCAGCGGUCCAAUUUAAAGGAAAUUUGCAGCAGCAAAGGAGAGAUCAUUCAUAAGGUCUCACAGAUCACUGACCUACGUCGCCCGGUUGUAGUUUACCUUGCAGUAGCCGACAGCCUUCUAGAAGAUGAUUCAGUAACCAGUGGUUGGAGAGUUGGUAUGGUUGCUUAUGAGAAGAAGAAACUUGGAGUUACUGACAUAUACGAGAAACAGCCUUACCUUAUAAAGUCUGCCAUCGACUUUGAGACUCACAAGAACAAAGGCAUUAUGGAAGAAAAGGACUGCCCCGUCGAAUCCUUCAAACACGAGGAUGACAAGAAAAGCACACCACCAGAAAUAGCAGUUGCUGAUGAACCGUUCCCAUUCUUCGGCCUGCUUUGCUACGCCGAUGCGCUAGAUUGGCUGCUCAUGGUAUCAGGGACAAUUGGGUCCUUCGUACACGGCAUGGCACCUGCAAUGUCAUAUUACAUACUUGGCAAAGCUGUCGAUAUGUUUGGGGACAACAUAGGCAAUCGGGAGGCAAUUGUCCAUCAACUUACUAAGUUACUUCCAUAUAUGUGGUCCUUGGCAAUUAUUACACUUCCUGCUGGAAUGAUUGGAAUUACAUGUUGGAUGUACACAAGUCAGAGACAAAUGACACACAUGCAGAUGGCAUAUCUGGGAUCAGUACUCAGUCAAGAUGUCGGAGCUUUUGACACCGACUUAACCACCGCGAACAUCAUGGCCGGAACAACUAAUCACAUGAGCGUCAUAAAAGAUGCAAUUGGAGAGAAGAUGGGUCACUUUAUUUCUAAUUUCUCCACAUUCCUAGUCGCUGUCAUUGUUGCUUUUGUGUGCUGCUGGGAGGUGGGUAUGCUCUCUGUGUUAGUUGUUCCGAUGCUUCUUGUGGUUGGAGCAACAUAUGCUAAAACAAUGAUUGGCAUGUCGAUGACAAGGACAGCUUUGGUCUCUGAAACAACCACUGUUGUGGAACAGACUCUUUCACAUAUCAAGACUGUCUUCUCAUUUGUUGGAGAAAACUCGGCGAUGAAAUCCUUUGUGAAAUGCAUGGACAAGCAAUACAAGUUAAGCAAGAAAGAGGCAUUCAUAAAAGGACUAGGUUUGGGAAUAUAUCUCUCAAAUGCAGCUCCAGACCUUCAGAUCUUCAGUCAAGCAAAAGCUGCUGGUAAAGAAGUGUUUAAGGUUAUCAAAAGAAAUCCAGUGAUAAGUUCUGGAUCAAAUGGAAGAAUAUUGGAGAAGGUCAUUGGUGACAUUGAAAUACGAGAGGUGCAUUUCACAUAUCCAUCCCGUGAAGAUAACCCAAUUCUCCAAGGUUUCUCACUGGCUGUACCGGCAGGCAAAAUUGUGGCUCUUGUCGGGAGUAGUGGAUGUGGGAAGAGCACUGUGAUUUCUUUGGUUCAGAGGUUCUACGACGCUAUGUCAGAGGUCACUGAAGCAGCAAAAACAGCUAAUGUGCACACCUUUAUUUCCAAACUUCCAAACCAAUACUCAACUGAGGUAGGAGAAAGAGGUGUGCAACUAUCAGGAGGCCAGAAACAGAGAAUAGCGAUCGCAAGGGCUAUUCUAAAAAAUCCUCCAAUUCUUCUGCUUGAUGAAGCCACAAGUGCUCUUGAUUCAGAAUCCGAGAAGCUAGUUCAGGAUGCUCUUGACAGAGCUAUGCAAGGGAGAACUGUCAUCUUGAUUGCCCACAGAAUAUCAACAAUUAUAAACGCGGACAAGAUUGUUGUUGUGGAGAAUGGAAGAGUAGCUCAUUCUGGAACUCAUAGAGAAUUGCUGGAGAAAAGUGCAUUCUACUCGAGUGUAUGUAACAUGCAGAAUCUGGAGAAGGAAUCUGGCCAGAGUAGAGACAGUAACAUCUUUCAGCACUAUAUUUAUGGCCUGGUCGGUGAAAGGGCGAUGAAUAACCUAAGGGAGGCCCUCUUUUCAGUCGUUCUUCGGAGCGAAGUAGGUUGGUUCGAAGAACCCGGGAACAGCGUCGGCUUCCUGACCGCACGUGUUGUCAGCGACACCUCAAUGAUCAAAACGGUUAUAUCCGACCGGAUGUCCGUCAUCGUUCAGUGCAUCUCUUCCAUCCUGAUAGCAACGGUGUUAAGCACAGCAGUGAACUGGAGGAUGGCUCUAGCCGUAUAUGCUAUGAUGCCAUGCCACCUAAUCGCCGGCCUCGUACAAGUCAGGUCAGCGAAAGGCUUUGCCACUGACAAUUCCACUUCCCACCAGAAGCUCAUCUCGCUCACCUCAGAGGCCGUCAGCAACAUCCGCACCGUGGCGUCUUUCGUUCAGGAAGAGGAGAUACUCAGGAAAGCGGACUUGGCACUUCAAGAACCGAUGCAGACUAUCAGGAUGGAGAUCAUCAAGUACGGGGCGUUGCAGGGGGCUGCCCUCUGCCUAUGGCACAUGACGCACGCCAUCCAGUUGAGCUGCAGCAUUGCGCUGAUUGGCAAUGGACUGGCAACGUUUGAAAACUGUGUACGGUCAUACCAGACGUUCGCGCUGACGGUGCCUUCCAUCACGGAGCUAUGGACCUUGAUCCCUAUGGUCAUGUCGGCGCUCGCGGUACUGGACCCUGCGCUCGACAUUCUUGACAGAGAAACAACGAUUGUGCCGGAUGUACCAAAAGUGUCUCAUGAUGAAGAAGACAGAAUUGUGGGUGGCGUCGCGUUUGAAGGCGUCAGCUUCAGCUAUCCCUCCAGAGCAAAGGUGGCCAUUCUGGAUGGCUUCAGUCUCGCCAUUGAGCCAGGCCAGAGGGUCGCCUUGGUCGGCCCGAGCGGCGCCGGGAAGUCCACGGUGUUCGCGCUCCUGCUAAGGUUCUACGAGCCUAGCCAAGGAAGAGUGCUCGUGGACGGUAAGGACAUCAGGGGCUACAACCUGAAGUGGCUGAGGAGGCAGAUAGGGCUGGUCCAGCAGGAGCCGAUCCUGUUCAACCUGUCCAUCAGGGAGAACAUCAGCUACGGCAACGAAGGCGCGUCGGAGGCGGAGAUAGUGCAGGCCGCGACGGAGGCCAACAUCCACGAGUUCAUCAGCGGCCUGUCGGCGGGGUAUGGCACCGUGGUCGGGGACAAAGGGAGCCAGCUUUCCGGGGGGCAGAAGCAGAGGAUCGCCAUCGCCAGGACCAUUCUGAAGAAGCCUGCCAUACUGCUGCUGGACGAGGCGACCAGCGCCCUGGACGGCGAGUCCGAGAGGGUGGUGAUGAGCUCCCUGGCCGCGAAGGGGUGGGGGAAGAGCAGUAUCGGCGAGGUGUCGUCGAGCACGACCACGAGCAUCACGAUCGCGCACCGGCUGUCCACGGUGGCGAACGCGGAUGUGAUCGUCGUGAUGGAGAAAGGUGCGGUGGUCGAGAUGGGCAGCCAUGAGGCGCUGGUCUCUGUGAGCAAUGGUGUUUACUCGCGGAUGUACCGUGUGCACGUCAAAGGGGCGAAGGACUGA